GGAUUGUGGCUCAGUGGUAGAGCGCUCGCCUAGCAUGUGUGGGACGCCCUGGGUUUGAUCCUCAGCACCA
This 70-nucleotide transfer RNA is filed under the name Marmota monax (woodchuck). Its description in RNAcentral is "tRNA.Ala". The record is from RNAcentral. Lineage: Eukaryota; Metazoa; Chordata; Mammalia; Rodentia; Sciuridae.